AGGAAAACCACCAAAAAUACUCAAAGGAUGAUUUUGGAAAAUUUUGGCUAGAAAAGGCUAAUCUAGUCUUGAGGAUAACAAGGCCAAUGAGCAAUUUGAAAGCUCGGGUAUGAAACAACCUCCCCAAAUGGCUGUUACUGGUGAUCAGAUUUUGAUGCAUCCAUUUAUUUAUGAAGAACAUGAUGUGUAUUCUUCUGCCAGAGUAUAUCUAUACCUCUUCAUCAAUUGGAUAAUUAGUUUGCAAGGAAAUCAAAUUUAAUGGAUGUUAAUCAAGUCCUGUGAUUUUGUGAGAGCUUUCUCCUCCAACCAGACUACCGAGACAUCAAUUGGAAACUUAAUGCAACCAUGUGGAGUUUGUGCACAAACUACCUCUCCAUCACCCAAAGUGCAGAGACACCAACUAGACAAUGGCAUCAGAAAAUAUUUGUCUCUCUGUAUUUCCUAAAAUUUAGCUUCAUAUUGGUUCUAUUUUUGUGGAGUUUGUGCUAUUUCAUAAUUUGGCUACUAUUUGAAAUCAGUCAUUGUUGAUUGGAUUUCUUGUUUUGACAACCUAGAAUGA
Dioscorea cayenensis subsp. rotundata (Guinea yam) is the source of this 559-nucleotide long non-coding RNA. RefSeq lists it as uncharacterized. The record is from RefSeq and is a predicted model, not a curated record. The transcript has 3 exons. Lineage: Eukaryota; Viridiplantae; Streptophyta; Magnoliopsida; Dioscoreales; Dioscoreaceae.